GACGAAUGCUGGCUGCGUGCUUAACACAUGCAAGUCGAACGGUGAAGGAGGGCUUGCCCUCCGGAUCAGUGGCGAACGGGUGAGUAACACGUGGGCAACCUGCCCCUCACUCUGGGAUAACGCCGGGAAACCGGCGCUAAUACCGGAUACGACCAGAAGCGACAUCUCUUCUGGUGGAAAGAACUUCGGUGAGGGAUGGGCCCGCGGCCUAUCAGCUAGUUGGUGAGGUAACGGCCCACCAAGGCGACGACGGGUAGCCGGCCUGAGAGGGCGACCGGCCACACUGGGACUGAGACACGGCCCAGACUCCUACGGGAGGCAGCAGUGGGGAAUAUUGCGCAAUGGGCGAAAGCCUGACGCAGCGACGCAGCGUGAGGGACGAAGGCCUCGGGUUGUAAACCUCUUUCAGCGGGACGAAGCGAAAGUGACGGUACCCGCAGAAGAAGCACCGGCUAACUAACGUG
RNAcentral lists this ribosomal RNA (464 nucleotides) under uncultured bacterium. Its description in RNAcentral is "bacterial SSU rRNA". It matches the Rfam family "Bacterial small subunit ribosomal RNA", at positions 28 to 507 of the family's 1533-position model. The record is from RNAcentral.